Molecule: long non-coding RNA, 456 nt
Organism: Perognathus longimembris pacificus (Pacific pocket mouse)
Lineage: Eukaryota; Metazoa; Chordata; Mammalia; Rodentia; Heteromyidae
Exons: 3
Source: RefSeq, a predicted model, not a curated record
AGAACUUGGAUUCAUGGGUCCUGAGACUUUUCUUCUACAAAUGUGGGUACCUGGUGUUAUCAGAGCUGUCUGGUGUAAUGUCACUAACCUCUCCUUUUGUUAGAACAACUUAAGCUUUUGAACUAGCUAUAGGGAAAUAGUGACUCUUCCCUUUCUAAGUACUACCAUAGUCCCCUUUCUUUUAAAUAUCUUCCCACUCAAACUCCCCACAACGCAGCUUUUCCAUUUAGAUGCUUUUGUUUCUCCUCUUUUCUUUAAACAUUCAGUCCUCUCCCCAAUUUUAAAUAAAUCUUUCCCUCCACAUUGUUUUAUUUAGAAUUUCUGAUAUUUCCUCCGUCAAACACAUUCAGACACACUUUUUCCUCUACUGCUGGAAAACUCUUGAUGUUCACCCUUGGCUUUCACUUAACUGGUUGCAAGUCAGCCUCUUAAUUUCAUCCCUCUAUCAAUUUCUUU